This 496-nucleotide ribosomal RNA is filed under the name uncultured bacterium. RNAcentral describes it as "partial 16S ribosomal RNA". It matches the Rfam family "Bacterial small subunit ribosomal RNA", at positions 29 to 507 of the family's 1533-position model. The record is from RNAcentral.
AUGAACGCUGGCGGCGUGCCUCAUACCUGCAAGUCGAGCGAACGGACGAGAAGCUUGCUUCUCUGAUGUUAGCGGCGGACGGGUGAGUAACCCGUGGAUAACCUACCUAUAAGUCUGGGAUAACUUCGGGAAACCGGAGCUAAUACCGGAUAAUAUUUUGAACCGCAUGGUUCAAAAGUGAAAGACGGUCUUGCUGUCACUUAUAGAUGGAUCCGCGCUGCAUUAGCUAGUUGGUAAGGUAACGGCUUACCAAGGCAACGAUGCAUAGCCGACCUGAGAGGGUGAUCGGCCACACUGGAACUGAGACACGGUCCAGACUCCUACGGGAGGCAGCAGUAGGGAAUCUUCCGCAAUGGGCGAAAGCCUGACGGAGCAACGCCGCGUGAGUGAUGAAGGUCUUCGGAUCGUAAAACUCUGUUAUUAGGGAAGAACAUAUGUGUAAGUAACUGUGCACAUCUUGACGGUACCUAAUCAGAAAGCCACGGCUAACUACGUG